CACAAGCUCUUAAUACACAGAAACAAAGUACUCUCUUCCUCUAUCUUUAUCUCUAUAGAUUCUCCACGUUUAGAGUUUUUUCCCACGUUCAAAGCUCUCGCCCACAGAGAGAGAGAGAGAGAGAGAGAGAGAGAGAGAGAGAGAGAUGGCCGCCAUUAAAGUCUGCAACUUGCUCUUGCUGCUCUUCACUGUGAUUCUUCUAGUUGAAGGAUCUGGAAAUGAACCUCUAGCUCCGUCCGCACAUAGCGUGGCGAGUUCUUCACCGCUGCAACGUCAGGAGAGGAUGAUGAAGAGUGGAUGGAGAAGGAAGAUCAUGAUUGGAUCGACGGCGCCUAUAUGCACAUACAAUGAAUGUAGAGGCUGCAAAUACAGAUGCAGAGCCGAGCAAGUCCCCGUUGAAGGCAACGAUCCCAUCAACAGUCCUUACCGUUACAGAUGUAUUUGUCACAGAUGAAUACAUGCAUACAUGCAUGUAUGUGGUCACCCCAGUUUUUUGGCUAUAUUUUCAUGUUGGUAUCAAUAUUAUAUUGUAGCUAGGGUUUUUGUUUUUUUUUUUCCUCUUCAUUUUGUCUCCUUGUGUGGGCUUUUUGUUUCUUUGUUUUAGAUUUUCAAUGACUUUGCUCUUGUGGGUUUGCGCCGAACAGCCA
This is a long non-coding RNA of Tarenaya hassleriana, 647 nucleotides long. RefSeq lists it as uncharacterized. NCBI's taxonomy places the organism in Eukaryota, Viridiplantae, Streptophyta, Magnoliopsida, Brassicales, Cleomaceae. The record is from RefSeq and is a predicted model, not a curated record. The transcript has 3 exons.